UUCAUCCUUUAGUGUGACUGCACAGGUGUGGACCUGUCUAUGGAUUUGACUCCUCCAUCACUGUCCUAUCUAGAAAAACUACCAAAAAUAAACAAGGAUUUGCAAAAGACACAGAUUCUGAAGUGUUCAGUGUUCCAAUGACUGGAUAACUUUUGUAAGAUUUAGUAUCACUUCUGUAGUAUUUCAACACAAAAGACAUCUUCUUGAUAGAGCUGAGGAAAAACUUCACUGUCUUGCCCAAGCUGUUUAUUUUUUUCCUUUUUUUUUUUUCCCUCUCUUAUCUGACGACAGCAAAUCCAGUUGAACAAAUUCUUGGUGUUGAAGAAAAAUCAAAAUACAUUUUGAUUACUCAAAGUAUUUUUAGUUGGGGGGUGGUGAGGGAGGUCAAAGUCUGUAUUUGCUGGAAUUGUUUUAAAUAAUUGAUGUGCAUACACCUUAUUAUUGGUUCUUCUCACCUCUGCAGAAUAAACACUUCUGAUGGUGUAUUACAAAGAGAGCGUUUCUUUCCUUGCAUCUCCCAUUUUCUGCACCAAAAUCUGCUCUUCGGUAACCUCUGCAGCAUAUUUCACAUUGCACACUGACUCAGCAUCCCCUGCCUCAGCAAGUCCUCUGCAUGGCAGAUCCUUUGGGACAUACAGUGCCAUCAGCCCCAUCCUUUGCCUCCAUCCCUGUCCCCCAGCUCCCAGGCAGGCAACGUUAAUCCAAGCAAGCCAGCUGCGCACACAUUUGUUACACUGCAGAGCUCACAUCUAUGGGUCUGACCUUCGUGAGAGGUGUGGAUAUUCAGCUGUGUAGGUAAAACAACCCCAUGGAAGCUCUUCUAAUUAUCACACCAAGCUUCUUUACUGCUCUGUUUGAGGAGUCUUAAAAGGGCCUGAUUUCAGCUGAUGCAAAUUGCCUCCAAGGUGUCUCCAACUGUGCACUCAGAAUUACAAGAUACUGAAGGUUUUUUUCCCCUAAAAUAUCAUAAUGCUUCUACUUUUUAUUAUAAAAUAUUCAUUUGUUUUACAGAUCCAUGUCAGAAUGAGGUUAAAUCAUAUCACAGGCAAGAAUUCUUAGUGCAAACCUUACAGAAUAGCAAAUUACGCCUCGCUAGAGCUUUUACCGUUAAGCAAAUUAGAAAUGACAUUACAGACAUCUUAAUACCAGUUUUGGCUUCUUUCCGGAUCUGCUUGAUGCUUUCAGACAAGGGAGACAUGCUUGUGGAAUCAGAUUAUUCCCUCCCAUACAAACAGAAGCCUGGAAGCACUAAAUAA
RNAcentral lists this long non-coding RNA (1256 nucleotides) under Anas platyrhynchos platyrhynchos (common mallard). RNAcentral's name for it is "lncRNA (ENSAPLG00000018172.1)". The record is from RNAcentral. Lineage: Eukaryota; Metazoa; Chordata; Aves; Anseriformes; Anatidae.